ACGCCCAACAGCUAGCCCACCUAAACAAUUUCAACAAACCCCUGUUAAUACCCCCUAAAUACCCCAGUAUUUAAAUUAAACAAACCAUUUUUCCCCCUUAGUAUAGGCGAUAGAAAAGGGCCCCCGGCGCAAUAGAGAAAGUACCGCAAGGGAACGCUGAAAGAGAAGUGAAAUAACCCAGUAAAGCCUUAAAAAGCAGAGAUUUAAACUCGUACCUUUUGCAUCAUGAUUUAGCAAGUGUACCUCAAGCAAAGAGCACUUUAGUUUGACGUCCCGAAACUACGUGAGCUACUCCAAGACAGCCUAUUAAUAGGGCGCACCCGUCUCUGUGGCAAAAGAGUGGGAAGAGCUUUGAGUAGAGGUGACAAACCUACCGAACC
RNAcentral lists this ribosomal RNA (380 nucleotides) under Gymnocanthus detrisus. RNAcentral describes it as "partial 16S ribosomal RNA". It matches the Rfam family "Bacterial large subunit ribosomal RNA", at positions 165 to 839 of the family's 2925-position model. The record is from RNAcentral. Lineage: Eukaryota; Metazoa; Chordata; Actinopteri; Perciformes; Cottidae.